This 777-nucleotide ribosomal RNA is filed under the name Triticum aestivum (bread wheat). RNAcentral's name for it is "partial small subunit ribosomal RNA". The record is from RNAcentral. Lineage: Eukaryota; Viridiplantae; Streptophyta; Magnoliopsida; Poales; Poaceae.
AUGUUCUAUAAUGGACUUGCUGUAAAGGGAACCCUUCUUGUUGUUAGAAAGCUUCCUGAAAGGACUAUCCAUAGACGACCAUCAAUGAUAAAAGUAAACUCAGAUCCUAGUUUAUCAGAUGGGCACUCCUUCAACUCACUGGAAAUUGUUUCAACGAGCAACCGACCCAAAAGGGCAUUGACUUCAAGGUUUUUAAUCACGCUGCUUCAAUAUGGAGGGGUUCCAGCGGAUUAUUUUAUGGAGCUUCUCGGGAAGGCACUAAAAGAUGUUGAGAAAGCUCGCCAUAAAACUAGAGAUUCCCUUGAAGUUGCAUUUAACCACGGUGACAUGGAUGAUUUAAUGUCUGCACGGAUGAUCCUUUCUGGAAUUCGACCAGAAGAUGAGGCAUACUUACAGCACCAGCUUACUACAAUGACCAAAGAGGAAAGAGAAGGAUUCAAACAAGGCAGGCUCCCUGUUGAUCAGUGUUAUUAUCUGAUGGGCACAACAGACCCUACAGGGACACUAAAGCCCCAUGAAGUCUGUGUGAUAUUGGACCAUGGCCCCAUUUCUGGAGAGGUUCUUGUCUAUAGACAUCCUGGGCUGCAUUUUGGUGAUAUACAUGUCUUGACAGCCACAUAUAGUGAGGCUAUACAGGAUUUCGUGGGAGACUCCAAAUUUGCUAUUCUUUUUCCUGUUUCUGGACCACGAUCUCUAGCUAAUGAGAUGGCAGGUGGUGAUUUUGAUGGUGACAUGUACUGGGUCUCGAGAAACCCACAGGUUGGUCAUUGUUUCUGA